GGGGAGGGGGGGGGGCGGGCGGUACACAGGGAAGGCGGACGGGGGCGCGGGCUUCGGCCUGGCGGCGAGUGGCGAACGGGUGAGGAAUGCAUCGGAACGUGCCCAGUAGUGGGGGGUAGCCCGGCGAAAGCCGGCUUAAUCACGCAUCCGACCUGCGGGUGCAAGCGGGGGACCGGAAGGCCUCGCGCUCUUGGAGCGGCCGAUGUCGGAUUAGCUAGUUGGUGGGGUAAAGGCUUACCAAGGCGACGAUCCGUAUCUGGUCUGAGAGGACGACCAGCCACACUGGGACUGAGACACGGCCCAGACUCCUACGGGAGGCAGCAGUGGGGAAUUUUGGACAAUGGGGGCAACCCUGAUCCAGCCAUGCCGCGUGCGGGAAGAAGGCCUUCGGGUUGUAAACCGCUUUUGUUCGGGAAGAAAUCCUCUGGGCUAAUACCCCGGGGGGAUGACGGUACCGGAAGAAUAAGCACCGGCUAACUACGUG
Molecule: ribosomal RNA, 484 nt
Filed under: uncultured bacterium
Lineage: Bacteria
Description: partial 16S ribosomal RNA
Rfam family: Bacterial small subunit ribosomal RNA
Source: RNAcentral